AAUCUGUUUAACAGGGACUGCAGUGUAUUUGCUUCAGGCAGAUGCUUUCAUUCUCUUUGUCUACUGAUGUGGCAGCCCAAAGAAGAAGGGCAGAAAGCAUUUCCCAAUGGAAACAACUUGGUGCACAUGAUGGUGAAGGUUUCAGGAGAGGCCACAGAAGCAAGUUACAAUGAGAAGACAGUCAACUGCAAGCCAGAAGAGAGCUCUCACUGGGAACCAAA
This is a long non-coding RNA of Eptesicus fuscus (big brown bat), 221 nucleotides long. RefSeq lists it as uncharacterized. The transcript is spliced from 3 exons. The record is from RefSeq and is a predicted model, not a curated record. Lineage: Eukaryota; Metazoa; Chordata; Mammalia; Chiroptera; Vespertilionidae.